RNAcentral lists this ribosomal RNA (782 nucleotides) under Bacillus subtilis. Its description in RNAcentral is "bacterial SSU rRNA". It matches the Rfam family "Bacterial small subunit ribosomal RNA", at positions 564 to 1345 of the family's 1533-position model. The record is from RNAcentral. Lineage: Bacteria; Bacillati; Bacillota; Bacilli; Caryophanales; Bacillaceae.
AGGGCUCGCAGGCGGUUUUCUUAAGUCUGAUGUGAAAGCCCCCGGCUCAACCGGGGAGGGUCAUUGGAAACUGGGGAACUUGAGUGCAGAAGAGGAGAGUGGAAUUCCACGUGUAGCGGUGAAAUGCGUAGAGAUGUGGAGGAACACCAGUGGCGAAGGCGACUCUCUGGUCUGUAACUGACGCUGAGGAGCGAAAGCGUGGGGAGCGAACAGGAUUAGAUACCCUGGUAGUCCACGCCGUAAACGAUGAGUGCUAAGUGUUAGGGGGUUUCCGCCCCUUAGUGCUGCAGCUAACGCAUUAAGCACUCCGCCUGGGGAGUACGGUCGCAAGACUGAAACUCAAAGGAAUUGACGGGGGCCCGCACAAGCGGUGGAGCAUGUGGUUUAAUUCGAAGCAACGCGAAGAACCUUACCAGGUCUUGACAUCCUCUGACGAUCCUAGAGAUAGGACGUCCCCUUCGGGGGCAGAGUGACAGGUGGUGCAUGGUUGUCGUCAGCUCGUGUCGUGAGAUGUUGGGUUAAGUCCCGCAACGAGCGCAACCCUUGAUCUUAGUUGCCAGCAUUCAGUUGGGCACUCUAAGGUGACUGCCGGUGACAAACCGGAGGAAGGUGGGGAUGACGUCAAAUCAUCAUGCCCCUUAUGACCUGAGCUACACACGUGCUACAAUGGACAGAACAAAGGGCAGCGAAACCGCGAGGUUAAGCCAAUCCCACAAAUCUGUUCUCAGUUCGGAUCGCAGUCUGCAACUCGACUGCGUGAAGCUGGAAUCGCUAGUAAUCGC